AAUAGAUACCCGGGUAGUCCACGCCGUAAACGAUGAGCGCUAAGUGUUAGAGGGUUUCCGCCCUUUAGUGCUGCAGCUAACGCAUUAAGCACUCCGCCUGGGGAGUACGGUCGCAAGACUGAAACUCAAAGGAAUUGACGGGGGCCCGCACAAGCGGUGGAGCAUGUGGUUUAAUUCGAAGCAACGCGAAGAACCUUACCAGGUCUUGACAUCCCACUGACCGGUAUAGAGAUAUACCUUUCCCUUCGGGGACAGUGGUGACAGGUGGUGCAUGGUUGUCGUCAGCUCGUGUCGUGAGAUGUUGGGUUAAGUCCCGCAACGAGCGCAACCCUUGAUCUUAGUUGCCAGCAUUUAGUUGGGCACUCUAAGGUGACUGCCGGUGACAAACCGGAGGAAGGUGGGGAUGACGUCAAAUCAUCAUGCCCCUUAUGACCUGGGCUACACACGUGCUACAAUGGAUGGUACAAAGGGCUGCAAGACUGCGAAGUCAAGCCAAUCCCAUAAAACCAUUCUCAGUUCGGAUUGCAGG
This 529-nucleotide ribosomal RNA is filed under the name uncultured bacterium. Its description in RNAcentral is "bacterial SSU rRNA". It matches the Rfam family "Bacterial small subunit ribosomal RNA", at positions 777 to 1304 of the family's 1533-position model. The record is from RNAcentral.